ACGCUAGCUACAGGCUUAACACAUGCAAGUCGAGGGGCAUCAGUUUGGUUUGCUUGCAAACCAAAGCUGGCGACCGGCGCACGGGUGAGUAACACGUAUCCAACCUGCCUCAUACUCGGGGAUAGCCUUUCGAAAGAAAGAUUAAUAUCCGAUAGCAUAUAUUUCCCGCAUGGGUUUUAUAUUAAAGAAAUUCGGUAUGAGAUGGGGAUGCGUUCCAUUAGUUUGUUGGGGGGGUAACGGCCCACCAAGACUACGAUGGAUAGGGGUUCUGAGAGGAAGGUCCCCCACAUUGGAACUGAGACACGGUCCAAACUCCUACGGGAGGCAGCAGUGAGGAAUAUUGGUCAAUGGACGCGAGUCUGAACCAGCCAAGUAGCGUGAAGGAUGACUGCCCUAUGGGUUGUAAACUUCUUUUAUAUGGGAAUAAAGUUGUCCACGUGUGGAUUUUUGUAUGUACCAUAUGAAUAAGGAUCGGCUAACUCCGUGCCAGCAGCCGCGGUAAUACGGAGGAUCCGAGCGUUAUCCGGAUUUAUUGGGUUUAAAGGGAGCGUAGGCGGAUUGUUAAGUCAGUUGUGAAAGUUUGCGGCUCAACCGUAAAAUUGCAGUUGAUACUGGCAGUCUUGAGUGCAGUAGAGGUGGGCGGAAUUCGUGGUGUAGCGGUGAAAUGCUUAGAUAUCACGAAGAACUCCGAUUGCGAAGGCAGCUCACUGGAGUGUAACUGACGCUGAUGCUCGAAAGUGUGGGUAUCAAACAGGAUUAGAUACCCUGGUAGUCCACACAGUAGACGAUGAAUACUCGCUGUUUGCGAUAUACAGUAAGCGGCCAAGCGAAAGCAUUAAGUAUUCCACCUGGGGAGUACGCCGGCAACGGUGAAACUCAAAGGAAUUGACGGAAGGGCGAA
RNAcentral lists this ribosomal RNA (901 nucleotides) under uncultured bacterium. Its description in RNAcentral is "bacterial SSU rRNA". It matches the Rfam family "Bacterial small subunit ribosomal RNA", at positions 33 to 925 of the family's 1533-position model. The record is from RNAcentral.